UGGUGCCAGCAGCCGCGGUAAUUCCAGCUCCAAUAGCGUAUAUUAAAGUUGUUGCAGUUAAAAAGCUCGUAGUUGAAACUUGGGCCUGGCUGGCAGGUCCGCCUCACCGCGUGUACUUGUCCGGCCGGGCCUUCCUUCUGGAGAACCUCAUGCCCUUCACUGGGUGUGUUGGGGACCAGGACUUUUACUUUGAAAAAAUUAGAGUGUUCAAAGCAGGCCUUUGCUCGAAUACGUUAGCAUGGAAUAAUAGAAUAGGACGUGCGGUCCUAUUUUGUUGGUUUCUAGGACCGCCGUAAUGAUUAAUAGGGACAGUCGGGGGCAUCAGUAUUCAAUUGUCAGAGGUGAAAUUCUUGGAUUUAUUGAAGACUAACUACUGCGAAAGCAUUUGCCAAGGAUGUUUUCAUUAAUCAGUGAACGAAAGUUAGGGGAUCGAAGACGAUCAGAUACCGUCGUAGUCUUAACCGUAAACUAUGCCGACUAGGGAUCGGGCGAUGUUCUUUUUCUGACUCGCUC
RNAcentral lists this ribosomal RNA (513 nucleotides) under Alternariaster centaureae-diffusae. RNAcentral describes it as "SSU rRNA". It matches the Rfam family "Eukaryotic small subunit ribosomal RNA", at positions 562 to 1081 of the family's 1831-position model. Lineage: Eukaryota; Fungi; Ascomycota; Dothideomycetes; Pleosporales; Leptosphaeriaceae. The record is from RNAcentral.